AUUGAACGCUGGCGGCAGGCCUAACACAUGCAAGUCGAGCGGAGCGGCGGACGGGUGAGUAAUGUCUGGGAAACUGCCCAUUAGUGGGGGACAACAUCUCGAAAGGGGUGCUAAUACCCCAUACUAAUAGAUGAGCCUAAGUCGGAUUAGCUAGUUGGUGGGGUAAAGGCCUACCAAGGCGACGAUCUGUAGCGGGUCUGAGAGGAUGAUCCACCAAACUGGGACUGAGAAACGGGCCAGAAGCCCUCGGGGGGGAGGAGUGGGGAAUAAUGGCAAAUUGGGGGAACGCUGAACCAGCCAAGGCGGGGGUGUGAAGAAGGCCGUAUGGUUGUAAAGCAACUUAAGCGAGGAAGCGUUACUCGCAGAAUAAGCACCGGCUAACUCUGUGCCAGCAGCCGCGGUAAUUC
This 407-nucleotide ribosomal RNA is filed under the name uncultured bacterium. RNAcentral's name for it is "partial 16S ribosomal RNA". It matches the Rfam family "Bacterial small subunit ribosomal RNA", at positions 29 to 526 of the family's 1533-position model. The record is from RNAcentral.